This 832-nucleotide long non-coding RNA is filed under the name Anas platyrhynchos platyrhynchos (common mallard). RNAcentral describes it as "lncRNA (ENSAPLG00000022344.1)". The record is from RNAcentral. Lineage: Eukaryota; Metazoa; Chordata; Aves; Anseriformes; Anatidae.
CUGUGCAUCUAGAGGCAACCUGAACAAUCAUUCAUAAUAGAACAUACAUAUCUUUCUGUAGAUGUUUGGGUUAGCUAUUUUUCUGGAAGAUGCUUACAGAAAGAGAAAAGAAGAGAAAAGAAGGAAAGAAGAAAGGAGAAAGGGGAAAGGGGAACAGGGAGGGAAAAAAAAAAAAAAUUGAAAAAAAAAAAAAAGAGAGAGAAAACAAAACAAAACCUUAAGUCACCAUAACAAACUGUUAGGUAAAUCUUAUUUCAAAUUGAUCCAAUGAAGGGAUGGAUUGUAUUUUUGCUUGGGCUUGUGGAUAGUUUUCACUUCAGAAUAAAAGUCAGGAUUCAGUUAUCUUACACAUAAGCAUCUAAUUUCAUGUUUCUAAUGUUUCCUUCUUUGGCCUCCAGUCCUGCUGCAGAAGAUAAAUAUAUAUUUUUUUAAUUCCUGCUACAGAAGAUCCUGGAUCUCCCAUAGGUGCUGCAUCUAAUCAACAUGACAGUUCUGCAUGGGCAUCUUGGUUGUUCACUGCCUGCUAACUAGUACUGGAGCUUACAUGAAGGAUUUUAUAUUGGAAAUUGAAAAUAAGAAUGACAAGGGAAUGGUGGGAAUGAUGAAUGUAUCAGAAUGUCAGCCCACAAGGUUAGUCAAUGACAUUUAACAAAGAGAAACUCACCUCAGAAUAUUCAACAGCACAGGUGUGACAGAGGACACACAAUUUCCAAUCCAUUUUCUACCUGAGACAGUCUUCCAAUUUCAAGGCAAUGGCUGUAAUUGCUGAAUUUCUGACUUGGUUUAAGAGCAGCUAUAUUUUGCCAAAUCUAUGACUAGUAGUUAAAUUUAU